GAUACCGAAAAUUUCCUCCACAAAAAAAUAAUACAAGACCUCUGAUCGAACAUGGGUAGAAUGCGGGAGACAGAUUCUGGGUUCAUUCAACAACUCGCUAGAAAUGCUCCACUAUUGCCAGAUCUGGUGUUCUUUGGGUUUUCUUCCUAUUUUUUUGUUGAGUUGUUUUGAUUAAUCAAGAAAUGAAAAUUGUUUUCGACGAUGAUAUUAAUCCUCUGGUGUCUGUUUUGUAAAUAUUAAUGAUGGCUUAGGAAUUUGAUUAACUAAGGUACCGAUUCAAUUUGUUCUUUAUAUCAUCAGUGACUCUUAAAGACGAUGAUGGCCCACUUGCUGUAAGACGAUGGAGAGCAAGAGGAAUUUGGUGGUAGCUUAGGAUUUAAUAUGGACGGAUUUUUGGGUGAGUUAGGAUUCAACAGCUGAAUUAAACAUAAGAGAGUUGUUCUAAAGGAACUAAUUUGGGAUUGCUUGAUUAUAAUUUGGGACCGAAUUUCGAAUGUACUCAGCUGUAUAUAGAUUUUCGAUUAAUUGGUAGUGGUGAUGACGAUCAACGAAGACCUUAGGUUUGAUUGUGAAGAACAGACAUGGUGCAGAACCGUCCGAUAUUUUCGUCCAAAGGCAUACUCGUGUCAGAAUAUUUCCUCCCAUAUAAAAUCAGUACUUGCGAUAUUUUUUUAUUUUUUUUUUGCCUGUUCUUAUGAAGAACAACGUCGCCGGAGAUAAGAAGAAGAUGACGGAGAUGAAGAAGAAGAAAGUAUGUUCACUUUUUUAUUUGUUUAGGUAUUUUGUAAUUUUCUUUUUUUAUUGUGCCACCCGUAUUUCUUUUUGCCACGCGGAUAUUUUUGCUGAGUCGGUGUAUUUUUUUGGCCACGUGUAUAUUCUUGAUGAGUCAGCUAACUUGGAAUAGACGGAAUUUAUAACGAGGGGAGGUUUCACUAAGUGUAUCUCUAUAGGGGAGGUAACUCAAAUUAUGAUCUUCGUCAGGGGAGGUAACGCAAAUUACCUCUUGUUUAAAUCAGUGAAAUCUAUGCAAAUCCUGAUUCCUUUGUUUUUC
Papaver somniferum (opium poppy) is the source of this 1051-nucleotide long non-coding RNA. RefSeq lists it as uncharacterized. The record is from RefSeq and is a predicted model, not a curated record. NCBI's taxonomy places the organism in Eukaryota, Viridiplantae, Streptophyta, Magnoliopsida, Ranunculales, Papaveraceae. The transcript has 2 exons.